UAAAAGUAAGCAAGGGCGCAUGGCGGAUGCCUUGGCUCUCGGAGGCGAUGAAGGACGUGAUAAGCUGCGAUAAGCUUCGGGUAGGUGCAAAUAACCUUUGAUCCGGAGAUUUCCGAAUGGGACAACCCGAUUGGUUGAAGACCAAUCAUCCAACUAAGUUGGAGGCUAACGCAGGGAACUGAAACAUCUUAGUACCUGCAGGAAAAGAAAAUAAAUAAUGAUUCCCCUAGUAGUGGCGAGCGAACGGGGACUAGCCCAAACCACCUAUGUUACGGCAUAUGUGGGGUUGUAGGACCACGUUGUGGCAAGAAAACUGGUGAGUAGAAUGUUCUGGAAAGUUCAACCAUAGAGCAUGAUAGUUGCGUAUACGAAGCCGGUCGAAGCCUAGUGGUAUCCUGAGUAGCGCGGAGCACGAGGAAUUCUGCGUGAAUCAGCCGGGACCAUCCGGUAAGGCUAAAUACUCCCGAGAGACCGAUAGUGAACCAGUACUGUGAAGGAAAGGUGAAAAGCACUUCGAACAGAAGAGUGAAAUAGUUCCUGAAACCAUGCGCCUACAAGCGGUCGGAGCUCGCAAGAGUGACGGCGUGCCUUUUGCAUAAUGAACCUACGAGUUACUUUUUCCGGCAAGGUUAAGGGUCUUGAGACCUGCAGCCGAAGCGAAAGCGAGUCUUAACAGGGCGUUCAGUCGGAAGGAGUAGACGCGAAACCAAGUGAUCUACCCUUGGGCAGGUUGAAGGAUGGGUAACACCAUCUGGAGGACCGAACCAAUAAGCGUUGAAAAGCUUCUGGAUGACCUGAGGGUGGGGGUGAAAGGCUAAUCAAACUUGGAGAUAGCUCGUACUCCCCGAAAUGCAUUUAGGUGCAGCCUUGACUUAUACUGGCAUGAGGUAGAGCGACUGAUAAGAUGCGAGGGCUUCACCGCCUAUCAAGUCUUGACAAACUCCGAAUGCGUGUCAGUUCUAUGUCAGGAGUGAGGGCAUGGGUGCUAAGGUCCAUGUCCUAAAGGAGAACAAUCCGGACCAACAGCUAAGGUCCCGAAAUGAAUACUAAGUUGAACUAACGAAGUCAGAUUGCUAAGACAGCUAGGAUGUUGGCUUGGAAGCAGCCAUUCAUUUAAAGAGUGCGUAACAGCUCACUAGUCGAGGAGUUUGGCGUGGAUAAUAAUCGGGCAUCAAGUAUUCUACCGAAGCUUUGGGAUGUGUAAACAUCGGUAGGGGAGCAUUCCACUCAGCGUUGAAGGUGAGGCGUGAGCCUUGCUGGAGCGUGUGGAAAAGCAAAUGUAGGUAUAAGUAACGAUAAAGGGGGUGGGAAACCCCCUCGCCGAAAGACUAAGGUUUCCUGAUCAACGCUAAUCGGAUCAGGGUUAGUCGGGUCCUAAGGCUCAGCCGAACGGCGAGGCCGAUGGCAGAACCGGUUAAUAUUCCGGUACUACCUCAAGGAGUGACGUGGAGACGGAGCAGUGACAGUGCCGCGGACUGACGGAAUAGUCCGUUAAAGGGUGUAGAUGUUGAUUCCUGCAGGCAAAUCCGCAGGAAGAGUCGAACCUGAGAGUAUGGAGCGUCCUUCGGGACAAUCCAAUAGUGCANGCUAAACUUAAUCCUUGUGGUACCCGUACCGCAAACGGACACACGUAGUCGGGUUGAAUAUACUAAGGCGCUUGAGUGAUUCACGGUUAAGGAACUAGGCAAACUGACCCUGUAACUUCGGGAUAAAGGGUCCUCAGGGUGACUUGAGGCGCAGAGAAUCGGUCCAGGCAACUGUUUAACAAAAACACAGGGCUGUGCAAAAUAGAAAUAUGAAGUAUACAGCCUGACACCUGCCCGGUGCUGGAAGGUUAAGAGGAGAUGUCAUCGCAAGAGAAGCAUUGAAUUGAAGCCCCAGUAAACGGCGGCCGUAACUAUAACGGUCCUAAGGUAGCGAAAUUCCUUGUCGGGUAAGUUCCGACCUGCACGAAUGGUGUAAUGAUCUGGACGCUGUCUCAACCGUGAGCUCAGUGAAAUUGUAGUAUCGGUGAAGAUGCCGAUUACCCGCGAUGGGACGAAAAGACCCCGUGAACCUUUACUAUAGCUUAACAUUGAAUUUGGGUAAUUGAUGUGUAGGAUAGGCCGGAGGCUUNCGGGGACACUGUUUGGUGGGUAGUUUGACUGGGGUGGUCGCCUCCAAAAGCGUAACGGAGGCUUCUAAAGGUGCCCUCACGACGAUUGGUAACCGUCGGCAGAGUGUAAUGGCAUAAGGGCGCUUGACUGGGAGACUAACAAGUCGAUCAGGUAGGAAACUAGAGCAUAGUGAUCCGGUGUUUCUGUAUGGAAAGGACAUCGCUCAAAGGAUAAAAGGUACUCCGGGGAUAACAGGCUGAUCCCUCCCAAGAGCUCAUAUCGACGGAGGGGUUUGGCACCUCGAUGUCGGCUCGUCACAUCCUGGGGCUGGAGAAGGUCCCAAGGGUUGGGCUGUUCGCCCAUUAAAGUGGCACGCGAGCUGGGUUCAGAACGUCGUGAGACAGUUCGGUCUCUAUCUAUCGUGGGCGUAUGAAAUUUGCGUGGCUCUGACACUAGUACGAGAGGACCGUGUUGGACUGACCUCUGGUUUACCGGUUGUGCCGCCAGGUGCAUUGCCGGGUAUCUAAGUCGGGAUUGGAUAAGUGCUGAAAGCAUCUAAGUACGAAGCCAGCCACAAGAUUAGAUUUCUUAGGGUCGUCAUAGACGAUGACGUUGAUAGGAUGCAGGUGUACAGGCAGCGAUGUCAUAGCCGAGCAUUACUAAUUGCCCGUUCACUUUUGGUC
RNAcentral lists this ribosomal RNA (2779 nucleotides) under Bacteroides stercoris. RNAcentral describes it as "23S ribosomal RNA". It matches the Rfam family "Bacterial large subunit ribosomal RNA". The record is from RNAcentral. Lineage: Bacteria; Pseudomonadati; Bacteroidota; Bacteroidia; Bacteroidales; Bacteroidaceae.